CGUAGGUGGCAAGCGUUGUCCGGAUUUAUUGGGUUUAAAGGGUGCGUAGGCGGCCCUGUAAGUCAGUGGUGAAAUACUCCAGCUUAACUGGAGGGGUGCCAUUGAUACUGCAGGGCUUGAGUGGAGUCGAAGUAGGCGGAAUUGACGGUGUAGCGGUGAAAUGCUUAGAUAUCGUCAAGAACACCGAUAGUGAAGACAGCUUACUAGGCUUCUACUGACGCUGAGGCACGAAAGUGUGGGGAUCAAACAGGAUCAGAUACCCUGGUAGUCCACACUGUAAACGUUGAUUACUCGCUGUUGGCGAUACACAGCCAGCGGCCCAGCGCAAGCGAUAAGUAAUCCACCGUGGGGAGUACGCCGGCAACGGU
This 368-nucleotide ribosomal RNA is filed under the name uncultured organism. RNAcentral's name for it is "bacterial SSU rRNA". It matches the Rfam family "Bacterial small subunit ribosomal RNA", at positions 526 to 895 of the family's 1533-position model. The record is from RNAcentral.